This is a non-coding RNA of Tupaia belangeri chinensis (Chinese tree shrew), 828 nucleotides long. NCBI's taxonomy places the organism in Eukaryota, Metazoa, Chordata, Mammalia, Scandentia, Tupaiidae. The record is from the annotation of a RefSeq genome assembly.
AAGAGCAGAGAGUGGAUAGAGAGUAGGUGACAGUGUGAUUUGAAAAGAGAUCAUCUAAGGAGCAUCUAGUGCCUCCUAUCGCCUCCCUGUGGCCCACGUCUGAUUUCAGCCUCAGCUGCAGUGCACUUGUGCACAGGGUCACACUCACCCCAUGCUGAUCCUGCUGCCUCAAGUAGGAACUUGCUGCUUUUUCCCUGGGGUCUUGCUGCUUUUUCCCUGGGGUUUUCUGCGGUAUCCUAUGCACCCACUUGGCCUGAACACAAAGAUAGUCCCUGAGAGACCACAUUUUUUAUUCCCACAAAAGGGAAGAGACACAGAAGGCUCCUCACUGGACCUGGAAUGGACAUCAGACUCCACUUCUGUGUGGUCAUUUGUCUCCUAUGGGCAGGACCUGUGGAUGCUAGAAUCACCCAGAGCCCAAGGCACAAGGUCACAGUGAAGGGAAAGAAUAUGAUUCUAAGAUGCCACCAGAAUGACAACCAUAACUACAUGUACUGGUAUCGGCAAGACCUGGGACAUGGGCUAAGGCUGAUCCAUUACUCAUAUGGAGUUAACAGCACCACCAAAGGAGAUAUCCCAGAUGGGUACAGAGUCUCCAGAUCAAACACAGAAGAUUUCCCCCUCACUCUGGAGUCAGCCACUCCCUCCCAGACAUCUGUGUACUUCUGUGCUAGCAGUGACACCACAGCGCUGCACGACUGCCUCUUCCCUGCACACAAAGUAUCAUUGGGAAGUCCACGGUUUAUCUGUGCUCACGAGGCCUGGCCCCAUCCAGACAAGUCUGGUCCACAUGGGAGUCACAGAGCCAUAGCUAAACUGGGUGUUUGA